GACGGGUAUCCGGCCUGAGAGGGUGAACGGACACACUGGAACUGAGACACGGUCCAGACUCCUACGGGAGGCAGCAGUAGGGAAUAUUGCUCAAUGGGGGAAACCCUGAAGCAGCAACGCCGCGUGGAGGAUGAAGGUUUUAGGAUUGUAAACUCCUUUUGUUAGAGAAGAUUAUGACGGUAUCUAACGAAUAGGCACCGGCUAACUCCGUGCCAGCAGCCGCGGUAAUACGGAGGGUGCAAGCGUUACUCGGAAUCACUGGGCGUAAAGCGUGCGCAGGCGGGAUAGUAAGUCAGAUGUGAAAUGCUAUGGCUUAACCAUAGAACUGCAUUUGAAACUGCUAUUCUA
RNAcentral lists this ribosomal RNA (348 nucleotides) under uncultured Helicobacter sp. RNAcentral describes it as "bacterial SSU rRNA". It matches the Rfam family "Bacterial small subunit ribosomal RNA", at positions 278 to 643 of the family's 1533-position model. The record is from RNAcentral. Lineage: Bacteria; Pseudomonadati; Campylobacterota; Epsilonproteobacteria; Campylobacterales; Helicobacteraceae.